AUGACUACACCGGCCUCUACUUCGACUCCGAGCUGGGACCAAGCUGCUUUUCUACAAGCCAUGAACAACUUUGCUGCACAAGGGAACUCAGGUACGGAUUGGAUUUUCGAUUCUGGUGCUUCUCGUCAUAUGUCUGCAUCGAGUAAUUUGCUUUCUUCUUGCACACCUUCGCCUUUUCCCUCCAUUACUCUCGGUGAUGGAUCCUCUAUUCCUAUUUACUGUGUCGGUCAGGCUCAAAUCCAAUCCCCAACUAAGCCUUUGCUUCUUCGUGAUGUUCUUGUAGCUCCUGCUCUUAUUAAAAAUCUGAUUUCUGUUCGCCAAAUCACCACUGAUAAUCAUGUUUCUGUUGAGUUUGACCCCUUUGGUUUGUCUGUGAAGGACUACCCGACCAAGGCCGAGAUCGCUCGAUUCAAUAGCUCCGGUGAUUUAUAUUCUCUCCAUGGUGCUUCGGUCGCUGCUCCUCCAACAUCUAUGGUGGCCUCUGUUGAUCUGUGGCACCAACGUCUCGGCCAUCCCAAUAAAAAUGUGUUAUCCCCACUUCUUACUAAAUUUUCAAUACCUUGUAAUAGAGAUUCUCAUAAUUCUUCUAUGUGUCAGUUGUUGGGGAACUCGGUUCAACUAAAGUGA
This 627-nucleotide ribosomal RNA is filed under the name Triticum aestivum (bread wheat). Its description in RNAcentral is "partial small subunit ribosomal RNA". The record is from RNAcentral. Lineage: Eukaryota; Viridiplantae; Streptophyta; Magnoliopsida; Poales; Poaceae.